RNAcentral lists this unclassified non-coding RNA (378 nucleotides) under uncultured delta proteobacterium. RNAcentral's name for it is "contains 16S-23S intergenic spacer region". The record is from RNAcentral. Lineage: Bacteria; Deltaproteobacteria.
UCCCGUUUAACACGGGCAGUCUCUCUAGAGUGCUCAACUGAAUGGUAGCAACUAGAGGCAAGGGUUGCGCUCGUUGCGGGACUUAACCCAACAUCUCACGACACGAGCUGACGACAGCCAUGCAGCACCUGAACCAGAGGUCCCCGAAGGGAAGACCUUAUUUCUAAGGCUGUCCUCUGUUGUCUAGCCCGGGUAAGGUUCUUCGCGUUGCGUCGAAUUGAACCACAUGCUCCACCGCUUGUGCGGGCCCCCGUCAAUUUCUUUGAGUUUUAGCCUUGCGGCCGUAGUCCCUAGGCGGAGUACUUAUCGCGUUAGCUGCGGCACCGAGGGGGUCGAUACCCCCGACACCUAGUACUCAUCGUUUACAGCGUGGACUAC